UGGGGAAUAUUGCACAAUGGGCGCAAGCCUGAUGCAGCCAUGCCGCGUGUGUGAAGAAGGCCUUAGGGUUGUAAAGCACUUUCAGUAAGGAGGAAAGGUUAGUAGUUAAUACCUGCUAGCUGUGACGUUACUUACAGAAGAAGCACCGGCUAACUCCGUGCCAGCAGCCGCGGUAAUACGGAGGGUGCGAGCGUUAAUCGGAAUUACUGGGCGUAAAGCGUACGCAGGCGGUUUGUUAAGCGAGAUGUGAAAGCCCCGGGCUCAACCUGGGAACUGCAUUUCGAACUGGCAAACUAGAGUAUGAUAGAGGGUGGUAGAAUUUCAGGUGUAGCGGUGAAAUGCGUAGAGAUCUGAAGGAAUACCGAUGGCGAAGGCAGCCACCUGGUCAAUGACUGACGCUCAUGUACGAAAGCGUGGGAGCAAAGCGGGAUUAGAUACCCGUCAGUCCACGCCGUAAACGAUGUCUACUAGGAGCUGGGGUCUUCGGACACUUUUCCAAAGCUAACGCAUUAAGUAGACCGCCUGGGAGUACGGCCAGCAAGGUUAAAACUCAAAUGAAUUGAC
Molecule: ribosomal RNA, 564 nt
Filed under: uncultured bacterium
Lineage: Bacteria
Description: bacterial SSU rRNA
Rfam family: Bacterial small subunit ribosomal RNA
Source: RNAcentral